Molecule: long non-coding RNA, 2021 nt
Organism: Rhea pennata
Lineage: Eukaryota; Metazoa; Chordata; Aves; Rheiformes; Rheidae
Exons: 3
Source: RefSeq, a predicted model, not a curated record
GCCGAGCGGGGUGCGGAGCCUUCCGCCGCCGCACGUCCGUCUCUGCCUCAGUGUCUCCCCUAAAGCUAUUUCCCCUUUAAUUUUUCUUCUUUUCUCGCACCUUUCUUUUAACCCGAGCCACCACGGUCUCUGUUAAGCGCAGGAGUCUUUGGUGAACUUCUCCGUGUUUAUACUCCCGGGGAAGUUAGUGUGCGCGUUGUAGGCCUGUGUUUGCACGGUGCUUUGUCACAGGACGUUUGUUAGGUAAAUCCUUAGUCCUGGAGCUGGUAAAUGCACUUGUGGAGCAAAAGAACUGGAUAGUUGCUGAUGUGGAGGCUCUGCGUAAAGGCUUAUGCAUCGGCUGGUUUCGUUAAGCAGGUCCCACAUGCAGGCACGGUCUUCUCUCAGGGUUUGGAGUGGCAUCACAAGUAUUUCUCUCUCCAGUGUGGCUCUUCUGAUCUUGAGUUAAAGCGAUGCCUCGUAAGAAUGACGCUAAGCCAUCUCUGAUUCAUUUUGAGAGGCAAAGAGAAGUUAACCGGGAGAAGAGUGUAAGGAAUGGAGAAAAGCUGCUUUUCCUGAGAUACUGCUCAGUUGUGAAGGACCUCACUUGGAUUGCAUAAAGGUGUCUUCCCAAGUUGUAACUGUAUGAUCAAAUCUUUCUUUUUCUGUGUAAAGUCAGCAAAGAUGGAAAUUACUGUUUAUUUUUCUAGUAUUUAAGCAACUGGAGACAGUGGAGACAGUAGGUUAAUAGGUAAUAAUUCUUUCAAAGUAUCUUGUUCAUGAUUAAAGUACCCUCUUUGGCUUAUGACGUGCCUCUGUCACUGAAGAAACUUAAUCUUCAUCCUUUCCUUCCUUUGCUGUCCUGUAUUAGUCAUGAUUCUUUUUUCCAUAUGCUUUAACCAUGCAACUUUUUCAUUUGGGCCAAAUAUUUAAGUAAAGGAAAGGUGUUUAUUACUUACUGUUAUAAAAUAUUCUUACUGCAGUGAAGUAAUUGCUGUUUGUUGUGCAAAUAUUGCAAGUGUCACAGGUAUCUCUUGUCAUCGCAGGCUGGUGAAAGAUUUUUUGUUUAUUUUCUUAAUUCCCCUCAAAUCUUUUGGACAUUUUCACUUCAGGUGGGCUAGGUCUGGUAGGUGCCGUACAGUGCAGCACUGAACAUGGGCCCUGGGAACUAAAGAUGAAGCAGAGCUGCUGUCAGUGGUGUGUGUCCUCUGAUACCUGCACUCCCAGAAUCUCAACAGGAAAAUCAGUCAUAUAGCCUCUGUUCUACACAUGCUGUGGGAACUUGAUUUCUCCAAGAUGUAGAGCAUGUGCAGCUUCUCUGAUUUCACCUGUGGAAAGUGUGAUCAUGGUAUGGAGGUGGAGAAAUGAACAAACAAUUCAGUGAUUUAAAGUCUACAGGACACUGGCAGCUAGAAGUGGAUUCCAGGUCUGCUGUCUUUAUUGUGCUGACAGUACCCGUUCCUCCCAGAUGUGUAUCUGUGCUUCAUAAAUUUCCUAGAUGAUUCUUUUCCAAGAAGUUGAGGUCAGCAUUUAAUGGCUGUUUACUUAAAAAUGAGUAGGUUGUCCACAGUGUCCACUGUCUCUCUCUGUAUAUAUGUGUGUGUGUGUGUGUGUCUGUGUGUGUAUAUAUACAUACAUACGUGUGUGUGUAUAUACAUAUAUAUAUAUAUAUGUAUAUGUAUAAAAUCUUUUUUUUUUCCUGGUUGAUGUGACAUUUGAGAGAUCUGUUCAACACCUAAGAAUUGUAUGUAAAAAUUCGUAUCUUCUUAACUGCCAAUUUUCCUCUCCCUCCUACUUUCCCACACUGAUCUGAACUUUCGUGACAAAGCAGUGGAUAACUACAGGACAUUUUUCGGUAAUUCAGCUAAUCGCUGCUACUGGGGCUCUGUUUUUCAUAUUUCUAUAGAUUCUUCCUAGAGCUGUAAUAGUUGAGUGCAGUUGAUCACAUACAAUUUAAAAUGCAAUGUUAUGAAAUAGAUAACAUGAAAGUUUUAGUGCCAUGCUUAAUGUGACUUCUAAUACACUUUCAGAUGUUGUUUUCC